GGGUAGCCGGCCUGAGAGGGCGACCGGCCACACUGGGACUGAGACACGGCCCAGACUCCUACGGGAGGCAGCAGUGGGGAAUAUUGCACAAUGGGCGAAAGCCUGAUGCAGCGACGCCGCGUGAGGGAUGACGGCCUUCGGGUUGUAAACCUCUUUCAGCAGGGAAGAAGCGUAAGUGACGGUACCUGCAGAAGAAGCGCCGGCUAACUACGUGCCAGCAGCCGCGGUAAUACGUAGGGCGCAAGCGUUGUCCGGAAUUAUUGGGCGUAAAGAGCUCGUAGGCGGUUUGUCGCGUCUGGUGUGAAAACCCGAGGCUCAACCUCGGGCUGGCAUCGGGUACGGGCAGACUAGAGUGCGGUAGGGGAGACUGGAAUUCCUGGUGUAGCGGUGGAAUGCGCAGAUAUCAGGAGGAACACCGAUGGCGAAGGCAGGUCUCUGGGCCGCAACUGACGCUGAGGAGCGAAAGCAUGGGGAGCGAACAGGAUUUGAUACCCUGGUAGUCCAUGCCGUAAACGUUGGGCACUAGGUGUGGGGCUCUUUCCACGAGUUCCGUGCCGCAGCUAACGCAUUAAGUGCCCCGCCUGGGGAGUACGGCCGCAAGGCUAAAACUCAAAGGAAUUGACGGGGGCCCGCACAAGCGGCGGAGCAUGCGGAUUAAUUCGAUGCAACGCGAAGAACCUUACCAAGGCUUGACAUGCGCCGGAAACUGCCAGAGAUGGUGGCCCCGUAAGGUCGGUGCACAGGUGGUGCAUGGUCGUCGUCAGCUCGUGUCGUGAGAUGUUGGGUUAAGUCCCGCAACGAGCGCAACCCUCGUCCCAUGUUGCCAGCGGGUUAUGCCGGGGACUCAUGGGAGACUGCCGGGGUCAACUCGGAGGAAGGUGGGGAUGACGUCAAAUCAUCAUGCCCCUUAUGUCUUGGGCUUCACGCAUGCUACAAUGGCCGGUACAGAGGGCUGCGAUACCGUAAGGUGGAGCGAAUCCCAAAAAGCCGGUCCCAGUUCGGAUUGGGGUCUGCAACUCGACCCCAUGAAGUCGGAGUCGCUAGUAAUCGCAGAUCAG
This 1058-nucleotide ribosomal RNA is filed under the name uncultured Isoptericola sp. RNAcentral's name for it is "bacterial SSU rRNA". It matches the Rfam family "Bacterial small subunit ribosomal RNA", at positions 281 to 1352 of the family's 1533-position model. The record is from RNAcentral. Lineage: Bacteria; Bacillati; Actinomycetota; Actinomycetes; Micrococcales; Promicromonosporaceae.